UGAUCCCUGGCUCAGAACGAACGCUGGCGGCAGGCCUAACACAUGCAAGUCGAGCGAGAUCUUCGGAUCUAGCGGCGGACGGGUGAGUAACGCGUGGGAAUAUGCCCUUCUCUACGGAAUAGCCUCGGGAAACUGGGAGUAAUACCGUAUACGCCCUUAGGGGGAAAGAUUUAUCGGAGAAGGAUUAGCCCGCGUUGGAUUAGGUAGUUGGUGGGGUAAUGGCCUACCAAGCCUACGAUCCAUAGCUGGUUUGAGAGGAUGAUCAGCCACACUGGGACUGAGACACGGCCCAGACUCCUACGGGAGGCAGCAGUGGGGAAUCUUAGACAAUGGGGGCAACCCUGAUC
This 347-nucleotide ribosomal RNA is filed under the name Paracoccus sp. R-28241. Its description in RNAcentral is "bacterial SSU rRNA". It matches the Rfam family "Bacterial small subunit ribosomal RNA", at positions 14 to 388 of the family's 1533-position model. The record is from RNAcentral. Lineage: Bacteria; Pseudomonadati; Pseudomonadota; Alphaproteobacteria; Rhodobacterales; Paracoccaceae.